AUGGAGAUAGAUAGGAGGGAGUGGAGUGCCUCUUGCAGCUAUAUAUAUAUGAUCUAUCUAGUCUAUGCAUAGUUGUAAUCGGAUUAAACGUACGUACGUUCGUUGUGAUCGAUGAGAAAGAACAAUACCUAAUGUACGUGUCUGUGUCUCAUCAUCAUAUACUGUACUACUAAAUUCUGGAGAGUAUAUAUGUGUAUGUAAUCUGACUUAGAAUAGGCA
Molecule: long non-coding RNA, 219 nt
Filed under: Panax ginseng (ginseng)
Lineage: Eukaryota; Viridiplantae; Streptophyta; Magnoliopsida; Apiales; Araliaceae
Description: long non-coding RNA (PGIN_LNC018908)
Source: RNAcentral